GGGGAUGUAGCUCAGUCCGGCAGAGCACCUGGUUUGCAUCCAGGGGGUCAGGGGUUCGAAUCCCCUCAUCUCCACCA
This 77-nucleotide transfer RNA is filed under the name Acidimicrobiia bacterium. RNAcentral describes it as "tRNA-Ala". It matches the Rfam family "tRNA". From Rfam's summary of the family: Transfer RNA (tRNA) molecules are approximately 80 nucleotides in length. Lineage: Bacteria; Bacillati; Actinomycetota; Acidimicrobiia. RNAcentral also lists the same sequence under 2 other names. The record is from RNAcentral.